This is a long non-coding RNA of Panthera uncia (snow leopard), 770 nucleotides long. RefSeq lists it as uncharacterized. The transcript has 3 exons. The record is from RefSeq and is a predicted model, not a curated record. Lineage: Eukaryota; Metazoa; Chordata; Mammalia; Carnivora; Felidae.
CUAUGAAAAGGAACAGUUCAAGUAUGCAGGGUGAGACCAAAUCUACGUGGAGGGUAACAAUAGCUUCAGCUUGGAAACUAGAGUAAUAUAGAGUUAAUACUUCAGUCACUUCAGACAAGAUGCCACAUUCUUGCCUGAAGCACUGGCAAUAAAAGAAAGGUGUUAGAUACAAUAGAGAAGCACUUCCAAGUGCCCCAGGCAUGACCAGAGUGAAGCAGACAUCACUUCUGCAUCAUCACUCUUGAUUGAGCUUCAAGCAAGAUUAGUUUUAACUUAUAGCAGAAUCUCAGGGCGCGGGGAAGAAGAUGCGGCCUGGUGAUCAUCAUGAAGAUUACCUAUCCACCUACUCUGCUUCAGGACUCAAUUCUCUUAGCCAUAUUUUCAUUUGGUGCCAAUGGAGGGAAGAGAAGGGCAUGCUUUCUGUUGUCUCUGUCGUCAAAACCAGCUCCAGUCUUUAGGGCAAAUGUUCCCCUAUUUGAAAAGCAUUCCUUCACCUGGAGAAGCAGAUUUAAUUAAAUUCUCUUGGGGAGCCUUGGUGGCUCAGUCAGGUGAGUGUCCCAGUUCGGCUGAGGUCAUGGUCUCCCGGUUUAUGAGUUUGAGCCCCACAUCCAGCUCGCUGCCAUUAGCCUGUCAGCAUCAGCGCAGAGCCAGGUUUGGAUAUUCUGUCUUCCUCUCUCUGCCCCUCCCCCACUUGCGCUCGCCCCAAAAUAAAUAUUUAAAUAAAUAAAUAAAUAAAUAAAUACUCUUUACUGAAGUAUUCAGAAACUGUA